CAUAGCGGUAAAUCAAGACAUGUUUUGA
Molecule: small RNA, 28 nt
Filed under: Bombyx mori (domestic silkworm)
Lineage: Eukaryota; Metazoa; Arthropoda; Insecta; Lepidoptera; Bombycidae
Description: ovarian small RNA-13392
Source: RNAcentral